UCAUCACAAGCCCGCUGACCUUUGACAAUAGGUAGCCCUUUUCGAUGUACCUGACUAAAUCCACCAAAUAGUAUUUUUUUUGGAUCAGAAAAAGAUGGUUCAUCAGGAUUCGAGGUUGCUACCAUAUUCUCAACAUAAUGUCGAACCUAUACCUUAGAAAAUGUAGGCCAGAUGUGUUGUGAAAUUCAAAGCACUAAUUAGCUUACAACUCACUAAAAGGAACUUAAU
Molecule: long non-coding RNA, 228 nt
Filed under: Phoenix dactylifera (date palm)
Lineage: Eukaryota; Viridiplantae; Streptophyta; Magnoliopsida; Arecales; Arecaceae
Description: long non-coding RNA (PDAC_LNC011586)
Source: RNAcentral